CCUACGGGAGGCAGCAGUGAGGAAUAUUGGUCAAUGGGCGCGAGCCUGAACCAGCCAAGUAGCGUGAAGGAUGACUGCCCUACGGGUUGUAAACUUCUUUUAUAAAGGAAUACAGUGAGGCACGUGUGCCUUUUUGUAUGUACUUUAUGAAUAAGGAUCGGCUAACUCCGUGCAAGCCGCCGCGGUAAGACGGAGGAUCCGAGCGUUAUCCGGAUUUAUUGGGGUUAAAGGGAGCGUAGAUGGGUUGUUAUGUCAGUUGUGAAAGUUUGCGGCUAAACCGUAAAAUUGCAAUUGAUACUGGCAGCCUUGAGUACAGUUGAGGUAGGCGGAAUGCGGGGUGUAGCGGUGAAAUGCUUAGAUAUCACGAAGAACUCCGAUUGCGAAGGCAGCCUACUAAACUGCCACUGACAUUGAUGCUCGAAAGUGUGGGUAUCAAACAGGAUUAGAUACCCCUGUAGUC
RNAcentral lists this ribosomal RNA (460 nucleotides) under uncultured bacterium. RNAcentral describes it as "partial 16S ribosomal RNA". It matches the Rfam family "Bacterial small subunit ribosomal RNA", at positions 338 to 795 of the family's 1533-position model. The record is from RNAcentral.